AUUGAACGCUGGCGGCAGGCCUAACACAUGCAAGUCGAACGGUAACAGGAAGCAGCUUGCUGCUUUGCUGACGAGUGGCGGACGGGUGAGUAAUGUCUGGGAAACUGCCCGAUGGAGGGGGAUAACUACUGGAAACGGUAGCUAAUACCGCAUAACGUCGCAAGACCAAGAGGGGGACCUUAGGGGCUCUUGGCCUUGGAUGUGGCCCGAUGGGGUUAGCUAGUAGGUGGGGUAACGGCUCACCUAGGCGACGAUCCCUAGCUGGUCUGAGAGGAUGACCAGCCACACUGGAACUGAGACACGGUCCAGACUCCUACGGGAGGCAGCAGUGGGGAAUAUUGCACAAUGGGCGCAAGCCUGAUGCAGCCAUGCCGCGUGUAUGAAGAAGGCCUUCGGGUUGUAAAGUACUUUCAGCGGGGAGGAAGGGAGUAAAGUUAAUACCUUUGCUCAUUGACGUUACCCGCAGAAGAAGCACCGGCUAACUCCGUG
This 489-nucleotide ribosomal RNA is filed under the name uncultured bacterium. Its description in RNAcentral is "partial 16S ribosomal RNA". It matches the Rfam family "Bacterial small subunit ribosomal RNA", at positions 30 to 507 of the family's 1533-position model. The record is from RNAcentral.